UAUCGCGCUUCGUCUUCGGCUGCUGAAUCUUUUAUAUACAUUUUUCUCGGUUUUUUCCCCAUUUUUUUUUUUCUGCCAUUGAGUAGGUCUGAAAAUAGCAGCGAUAGUGAGCUCAAGUGUAAAGUUAUCAAGUGGCUGCGACUGGCGGCCAGAUAGACGGACACCAGUCAAGGGUUAAAGCCAUAGACAACGUCGAGUGUGUUUGGCCAUGGCUUGUGACAUAAAAUGCUAUCAGAAAGGAUUAUGACAAGCCUGCAAAAACGAGAAAAACAUGGCUAAGAGCGAGGUGAAACACUGUACAGAACUGUAUCACUGGCACAAAGAAAUAGAGACGACGACGACGACGAUGAUGAUGAUGCGAUGGCGACGAUAUAGCCGACAACCAAGUGUCAAAGUCGGACAUUCGACGCCAUAAAAUAUUUACACCAAAAAGGAGCAAAGGAGCCUCGAGUUAUCUCAAGAAUCUCACUUCAGUCGAGCAAAGUUAUCCUCUAUUUCAUAGGAGCGGAAGUGGGCGGAGGAAUAAGUGUCACAAUUGUUGGUUAAGUAAGUUGAGGAUUUUUCACUUGAGGCAAGAGGUGUUUGUAGUUUUAUCUAAGUCGAGGUGACCAGAUUUAAGUGGUUGUCGUUGUGAAAUUUUACGUUUUUAUUUGGAACGAAUAAAUGUAU
Molecule: non-coding RNA, 669 nt
Organism: Drosophila melanogaster (fruit fly)
Lineage: Eukaryota; Metazoa; Arthropoda; Insecta; Diptera; Drosophilidae
Source: Ensembl